UCCCUCUGGUGCCCACAGCUAUGAAGGCAGUAUUGGCUGGCACAUGGCAUCUCUUCAGGACUCAAGAGUCACUACAGCUUCCAGAUGUGUGUUCUUGGACGAGUCCAUCCCUCAAAGCCUCAGUUUCCUUAUCUACACGAUGGAGACUUUAAAAGCUGUUCCCUCCAGGAAUGACAAGGAUUCUGAAAGGUGAUGCCCAUGAAGAGCCUGGCAUGUGCCUUGGCAUGUAAGUGUUACCUUCUCUUUGGGAGGAGGAAGGUAAUGAUAAUGGUGGUGGUGGUGCUGGGACAAUUGGGUUCU
This 300-nucleotide long non-coding RNA is filed under the name Cervus hanglu yarkandensis (Yarkand deer). RNAcentral describes it as "lncRNA (ENSCHYG00000004753.1)". The record is from RNAcentral. Lineage: Eukaryota; Metazoa; Chordata; Mammalia; Artiodactyla; Cervidae.